GUAGUAAUACAUAUACUAGAAGUGGAACAAUAAAGAGAUGAUUAACCUGGCUCCUGCAGAAGGCCGAUACAAAACUUUGGCAAAUGUCUUACAUUUGG
This 98-nucleotide small nuclear RNA is filed under the name Notamacropus eugenii (tammar wallaby). Lineage: Eukaryota; Metazoa; Chordata; Mammalia; Diprotodontia; Macropodidae. The record is from RNAcentral.